This 440-nucleotide ribosomal RNA is filed under the name uncultured bacterium. Its description in RNAcentral is "partial 16S ribosomal RNA". It matches the Rfam family "Bacterial small subunit ribosomal RNA", at positions 339 to 795 of the family's 1533-position model. The record is from RNAcentral.
CUACGGGUGGCUGCAGUCGAGAAUCUUCGGCAAUGGACGAAAGUCUGACCGAGCGACGCCGCGUGCGGGAUGAAGGCCUUCGGGUUGUAAACCGCUGUCAGAGUGAAGGAAAUUUUGACCGAUCCUCAAAGGAAGUACGGGCUAAGUUCGUGCCAGCAGCCGCGGUAAGACGAACCGUACAAACGUUAUUCGGAAUCACUGGGCUUAAAGGGUGCGUAGGUGGUCUAUUAAGUUGGGUGUGAAAUCCCUCGGCUCAACCGAGGAACUGCGCUCAAUACUGGUAGACUCGAGGGAGAUAGAGGUGAGCGGAACUGAUGGUGGAGCGGUGAAAUGCGUUGAUAUCAUCGGGAACACCUGUGGCGAAAGCGGCUCACUGGAUCUCUUCUGACACUGAGGCACGAAAGCUAGGGGAGCGAACGGGAUUAGAUACCCCAGUAGUC